RNAcentral lists this ribosomal RNA (255 nucleotides) under Triticum aestivum (bread wheat). RNAcentral's name for it is "partial small subunit ribosomal RNA". The record is from RNAcentral. Lineage: Eukaryota; Viridiplantae; Streptophyta; Magnoliopsida; Poales; Poaceae.
AUGGACCGGCCGCCACCGGCAAUGUACCUCUCGCCGGAAUCAUACACCCAACUCCUUCUAAGCUUCUCCUCCAUCCCUGAUCUAGAUCCAAAUCGCGGUUGGACGCAACAAGAAGAACAAGAGGAGGGGGUGUUGCUGAUUUGGCCGGUAGCGGCGGCGAUUGGGCAAGCUGGAGUGAGACUGAACAUGAAUGCCAGUCCGACUCCUCCACACCAGAUCCAUCCGCACAGAGUGCCGAGGCCCACCGCCAAGUGA